UACGGAGGGUGCAAGCGUUAUCCGGAUUUACUGGGUUUAAGGGGUGCGUAGGUGGAUAAUUAAGUCAGUGGUGAAAUCUUCAGGCUUAACCUGGAAACUGCCAUUGAUACUAUUUAUCUUGAAUACUUUGGAGGUAAGCGGAAUAUGUCAUGUAGCGGUGAAAUGCUUAGAUAUGACAUAGAACACCAAUUGCGAAGGCAGCUUACUACACAGUAAUUGACACUGAGGCACGAAAGCGUGGGGAUCAAACAGG
RNAcentral lists this ribosomal RNA (253 nucleotides) under uncultured bacterium. Its description in RNAcentral is "partial 16S ribosomal RNA". It matches the Rfam family "Bacterial small subunit ribosomal RNA", at positions 524 to 776 of the family's 1533-position model. The record is from RNAcentral.